AAUGAACGCUGGCGGCAUGGAUUAGGCAUGCAAGUCGAACGGGUUCCCUUGGGAACUAGUGGCGUAAGGGUGAGUAACACGUGAGUAACCUGCCCCUGAAUCUGGAAUAAACCAGGGAAACUUGGUCUAAAACCGGAUGUCGGCACCGCGCCUCCUGGCGCUUUGCUGAAAUAUUCAUAGUUCGGGGAUGGGCUCGCGUCCCAUUAGCUUGUUGGCGGGGUAAUGGCCCACCAAGGCUACGACGGGUAGGUGGUCUGAGAGGAUGGUCACCCACACUGGGACUGAGACACUGCCCAGACUCCUACGGGAGGCUGCAGUCGAGAAUCUUCCGCAAUGGGCGCAAGCCUGACGGAGCAAUGCCGCGUGAGGGAUGAAGGCCUUCGGGUUGUAAACCUCUGUCACCUGGGACGAAAUCAAUGACGGUACCAGGAAAGGAAGCCACGGCUAACCACGUGCCAGUAGCCGCGGUAACACGUGGGUGGCGAGCGUUAUUCGGAUUUACUGGGCGUAAAGGGUCCGCAGGGGGCCUGCCACGCCCGCCGUGAAAUUUCAGGGCUCAACCCUGAACGUGCGGCGGGUACGGGCGGGCUGGAGUGCAGGAUGGGCAGACGGAAUUCCAGGUGUAGCGGUGGAAUGCGUAGAUAUCUGGAAGAACACCGAUGGCGAAGGCGGUCUGCUGGCCUGCAACUGACCCUCAGGGACGAGAGCGUGGGGAUCAAACAGAAGGAGAUACCCUGGUAGUCCACCCCGUAAACGUAGUGUGCCCGAAGAGGGCAGGGUUCGGUCCCUGUCCGUGUCCAAGCUAACGCGAUUAGCACACCGCCUGGGGACUACGGCCGCAAGGCUAAAACUCAAAGGAAUUGACGGGGACCCGCACAAGCAGCGGAGCAUGUGGUUUAAUUCGAAGCAACGCGAAGAACCUUACCAAGAAUUGACAUCUAUAUGCCAACUCACGAAAUUGAGUCUUUCUUCGGAACAUAUAGACAGGUGGUGCACGGUUGUCGUCAGCUCGUGUCGUGAGAUGUUUGGUUAAGUCCAGCAACGAGCGCAACCCUUUUUACUAGUUGCCAAUAUUAAGUUAGGAACUCUAGUGAUACUGCCGUAGAUAAUACGGAGGAAGGUGGGGAUGACGUCAAAUCAUCAUGCCCCUUAUAUCUUGGGCUACACACGUGCUACAAUGGCCAUUACAAAGAGCUGCAAUAUGGUAACAUGGAGCAAAUCUCAUAAAAAUGGUCUCAGUUCGGAUUGUGGGCUGCAACUCGCCCACACGAAGUCGGAGUUGCUAGUAAUCCCGAAUCAG
Molecule: ribosomal RNA, 1300 nt
Filed under: uncultured bacterium
Lineage: Bacteria
Description: partial 16S ribosomal RNA
Rfam family: Bacterial small subunit ribosomal RNA
Source: RNAcentral